RNAcentral lists this long non-coding RNA (2554 nucleotides) under Sus scrofa (pig). RNAcentral's name for it is "lncRNA (ENSSSCG00060061888.1)". Lineage: Eukaryota; Metazoa; Chordata; Mammalia; Artiodactyla; Suidae. The record is from RNAcentral.
UUUUUUUUUUUCCCUCCUCUAAUUUUCAACUUGGUUUUCCCUUUUCUGUUUAAAUUGGAUCAUUGUGCUUGAGUGGGGGACUGCGAGUGUGUCCCUGGGGAGUGGGUGUUCUGUAUCCCUGGGAGUGGGUGCCCUUACAAACAGGUGUGUGUUGACGUGUGGUCUUCCUCAAGGGUGGAAGUGAGAGUGUGUGGCCGGGUGUGCACACGUCUCUGUGGGCUUAGCUGUGUAAGGGGCGGGGGGUUCCCAUUCUGCAUAUCUGUGGGCACAUGCAUGUGCAAACGUGUGCAUGUGUGGGUGUCUUCAAGACUGCCAGCCAUGUGUGCACUGUGUAUUUGCAUGUAUAACUGCAGGUGUACAUAUAGGGGUGUGUGUGUGUGUGUGUGUGUGUACUGAUGAGGUGUAUGUGGGUGUGUGUCGACAUGUCACUGUAUCUAAUAGUCACGUGUAUAUAGGUGAGUGUGUGUCUGUAUAGCUGCAGGUGUAUGUGUCAGUGGGUGUCUAAGCAUAUAUACAGGUGUAGGCAUCAGUGUAUGUGGGUGUAUCUUUCUCUCUCUGCAGCCAUGUGAAUGGGGAUGUGUCCGUAUGUCUGUCCACGUAUCCAUGUGGAUCUCUGUUCAUACCCACACAUGUGCACAUCCAUACAUAUGUACCUACGCGUCUUCCCAUGUAUGCAUGUCUUUGGGUCUGUACACAUGCAUAAGAGGCAGAAUUGCCAGAGUUCCCACUGUGGCGCAGCAGGACCAGCUGAGUCUCUGGAGCGCUAGGGCGCAGGUUCCAUCUCUGGCUCCCUCCUCACAGUGAGUUAAGAAUCUACUGUUGCUGGGAGUUCCCGUCGUGGCGCAUGUGGGCUGGGUACAUGAGAAGCUCUGCCUUUGGGACCAGAUAUAGCAUGACAAGAAACAAAAGAUAAGUGCAGUAAGUUUCUUCUUUAACGCAACAGGAAACACCAAAGGUAAUAGGAUCUGACAUUGAGAGAUUCAUUAACAGAGGGAUUCAUCAAUAGAGGUAUAAACCAAGGAGGUGACAGUCUAGCUCUACACAGCCCUUGCUCCACCUGCAACAUGGAUUCCACACUUCAAGAGGGGCUUGGCCAGAUCCAAGGAUGCUGAGGAUUCAACCAUUUAUGGUGAGAGAAGAGAAAAUAUUAUCAGAGAGGAUCAAAUAGCAGAGAUUGGUUGGAAAGAGUUUAACCAGCGGAAGACUGAGGGGACGAGAUCUGGAUUUUAGCUGCCUUUGUUUGGGGGAAUUAUCCAGUUAGCUGUUUUGCUUUAAGCUCUGAUGUACACAAGCCAGGCUCUGUGCUUUGUGCCUGCACCUUUGCAUUUAAUCCUCCUAACAAGCUGCAUUAGUCAGGGUCCUCCAGAGAAACAGAAUCAAUAAGAUACGUACAUACACAUUGGUUUAUUAGGAGGAACUGGCUCACGUGACUAUGGAGGCCGAGAAGCCCCGGAUCUGCUGCCCACAAGCUGGAACCAGUGGUGUGAUUCAAUCUGAGUCUGAAGGUUUGAGAAACAGGGGAGUCAACAGUGUCAACUCGAUCCAAGGUCAGGAGAAACUGAGGUACCAUGUCCCAGGUGAGACCGUGAAGCAGGCAAAAAGGGGAACCGUCUCCUUCCUUGGCCUCCAUUCCACUCAGGCCCUCAGUGGGUUGAAUGCUGCCCCCUGACACGGGGGAGAGCCAGGUAUUUUACAAAGCCCACCAGGUCAAGUGCACAUCUAUCUCACCCAGAGACACCCCCAGAAAUCACGUCUUCAUCCGGGCACUCCACGGCCAGUCAAGGUGACGCGUAAAAUGAACCAUCACUCAAGUCCAGGACCUUAGAACUUUGUGAUCCUCCUUUUAAGGGUGGGGGAGCUGGGGUGUUUAUCCAUCAUGUGUCUGCCAUCGAUUGAGGGCUGCUUCUGGGCACAUUAAGGCUCUGGUACUUUGGGGUCCCCUUACACCCCGAACACAUCCCCGAGGCCAGAAAAGUGCCCACAGGCAGUGUCAGGUGUUUGCAGAAAAGUAGCCUUUGCCUACUAAGGUGAAUCUCCUUUUUUUUGUCUUUUCUAGGGCCACACCUGCAGCAUGUGGAGGCUCCCAAGCUAGGGGUCUAAUCAGAGCUGUAGCCACCGGCCUACCCCACAGCUACAGCAACACCAGAUCCUUAACCCACUGAGCGAGGCCAAGGAUCGAACCCACAACCUCAUGGUUCUUAGUUGGAUUUGUUAACUGCUGAGCCAUGACAGGAACUCAUGAACUGAGGUGAAUCUUAUGAAGAGGUUGUGGACGGGAGUUCCCUGGUGGCUCAGAGGGUUAUGGAUCUGGCAUUGUCACUGCUAUGGUGCACAUUUGAUCCCUGGCCCUGUAACUUCCAGGUGCCACAGGUUCGGCCAAAAUCAAACAAACAAACCAGAGUAUAUAGGUGAGGCAGCAAUAAUGUCCACUGCACAAAGGAAGUGGUUUGUGACUUAAUAUCACUUGGCUGGGACGCAACUGAGCAGGACUGGAAUACAGUUCAGCCAGACUCCAAACAAAGCUCUCCAUCUUACAAAAAAAAAAAAAAAAAAA